RNAcentral lists this ribosomal RNA (485 nucleotides) under uncultured bacterium. Its description in RNAcentral is "partial 16S ribosomal RNA". It matches the Rfam family "Bacterial small subunit ribosomal RNA", at positions 28 to 507 of the family's 1533-position model. The record is from RNAcentral.
AUUGAACGCUGGCGGCAUGCCUUACACAUGCAAGUCGAACGGCAGCGGGCCCUUCGGGGUGCCGGCGAGUGGCGAACGGGUGAGUAAUGCAUCGGAACGUACCCGGGAGAGGGGGAUAACCGGCCGAAAGGCUGGCUAAUACCGCAUGAACUCGGAAGAGCAAAGCGGGGGACCUUCGGGCCUCGCGCCCUCGGAGCGGCCGAUGUGCGAUUAGGCUAGUUGGUGGGGUAAAGGCCCACCAAGGCGACGAUCGGUAGCGGGUCUGAGAGGACGAUCCGCCACACUGGGACUGAGACACGGCCCAGACUCCUACGGGAGGCAGCAGUGGGGAAUCUUGGACAAUGGGCGCAAGCCUGAUCCAGCAAUGCCGCGUGGGUGAAGAAGGCCUUCGGGUUGUAAAGCCCUUUCGGCGGGGGAGAAAUCGGUCAGGCGAAUAGUCUGGCCGGAUGACGGUACCCGCAGAAGAAGCACCGGCUAACUACGUG